Molecule: ribosomal RNA, 253 nt
Filed under: uncultured bacterium
Lineage: Bacteria
Description: partial 16S ribosomal RNA
Rfam family: Bacterial small subunit ribosomal RNA
Source: RNAcentral
UACGGAGGGAGCUAGCGUUGUUCGGAAUUACUGGGCGUAAAGCGCGCGUAGGCGGCUUUGUAAGUUAGAGGUGAAAGCCCGGGGCUCAACCCCGGAACUGCCUUUAAGACUGCAUCGCUUGGAUCCAGGAGAGGUGAGUGGAAUUCCGAGUGUAGAGGUGAAAUUCGUAGAUAUCGGGAGGAACACCAGUGGCGAAGGCGGCGAUCUGGGAAGAUACUGACGCUGAGGUGCGAAAGCGUGGGGAGCAAACAGG